Molecule: ribosomal RNA, 229 nt
Filed under: uncultured bacterium
Lineage: Bacteria
Description: partial 16S ribosomal RNA
Rfam family: Bacterial small subunit ribosomal RNA
Source: RNAcentral
UACGUAGGCGGAAUAUUAAGUCAGUGGUGAAAUCCUGCAGCUUAACUGUAGAACUGCCAUUGAUACUGGUCUUCUUGAAUAUAGUUGAGGUGGGCGGAAUGUGUAAUGUAGCGGUGAAAUGCUUAGAUAUUACACAGAACACCGAUUGCGAAGGCAGCUCACUAAACUAUCAUUGACGCUGAGGCACGAAAGCGUGGGGAGCGAACAGGAUUAGAUACCCUGGUAGUCC